Molecule: long non-coding RNA, 221 nt
Organism: Coregonus clupeaformis (lake whitefish)
Lineage: Eukaryota; Metazoa; Chordata; Actinopteri; Salmoniformes; Salmonidae
Exons: 3
Source: RefSeq, a predicted model, not a curated record
CCCGGGCAUAUAUGUAAACAUUUUUGGAAUACGGAUUUGGCAAUCGGCGUGACAUAGCUGGAGCGUCACAAUUGAUCAAGAUGUAGAGGUUAAACCAAUGAAAGGGGGGGAAAGAGAAAACAACCCUCCAGAGUGGGAGGCUUUGAGGUUGGAGCAGCAGUCCAGGAAUGGACUCCAGAGGAUAUAGAUUAUUGGAACCUGACUCCUGCCUCCGCUUCACU